Molecule: transfer RNA, 66 nt
Filed under: Auzakia danava (commodore)
Lineage: Eukaryota; Metazoa; Arthropoda; Insecta; Lepidoptera; Nymphalidae
Description: tRNA-Cys
Source: RNAcentral
AGCUUUAUAUUCAAAAUAAAAAUGAUAUAAAAUUGCAAAUUUUAAGGUGUUUAUAAACUAAGGCUU